Arvicola amphibius (Eurasian water vole) is the source of this 600-nucleotide long non-coding RNA. RefSeq lists it as uncharacterized. The record is from RefSeq and is a predicted model, not a curated record. Lineage: Eukaryota; Metazoa; Chordata; Mammalia; Rodentia; Cricetidae. The transcript has 2 exons.
CCGGGGAGCCGGCCAACAUUGCCACACUCAAGAUGGCGGCACGGCCGCGGCGAGGUCCCUCAGAGGCGGUACCGACGCAUGCGCAGCGCGGAGUCCCGGCCCGGGACACAAGAUGGCGGCAGCGGCGCUGGGGAGGGCGAGGCGGAGGCGGCAAAACGGGCGGUCGAGCAGAACGUGUAGCCGCAUCCCCUCGAGUCCGCUUCGGGCAGCUGCUGAUGCACGGAGUCCCUUGAUUCCCUGUCAACUACACUGCUGACCAGCCCACCUACCUGUGCUGCAUCUUCCUGUGGUCCUCCCCCCUGCUUCUGUGGGACCCCGUGACGUGGGUUCAGUCCAGCCAGAGAAGAAAACCCUCUCAUGCUAGUGUUGCAGACCCCAGAGGGUGAGAGAAAAGGGACCUUAUUCAGCCUUGAAACCCAUGGGCUCAGCCCCAAAGGAGUCAUUCCAAACCUUCCUGUAAUCAAGGCCCGCUUGUUACACGUGUCCUGUUGCCGCUGCAAUUUUUAUGUGCCAAACUGUACAGAUAAAGUAACUAUUGAUUUUUCCCUUUCCAAAUUAACAGACGUCUUUGGGUGUACAAUAAAAUAAAUGUUCAAUGAU